CUCAAGCUAGCGAACAAUUGUAGCGAACAAUUAGCCAGCGAACAAUUAGGAGGUAUAACUAAAAACCACAAUUUCACAUAAGACAAUCAUGUUUUUUUCGAGCUAGCGAACACUUACAGAGACCUAGCGGAAUAUUCAAAAUAUUAAACAAAAACGAAUAAAAAAAUUUAAAACAAAAGGGAUACCAUAAAGAUUUUGACCAAUUUAUAGAGAUUGUGACAGGCAACAACUGUAAAGGUAACAUAGAGUAGACAUUAUCGUAUCUAAUAAGACAAACUCCAGAAUGGUUUAUGUUUAAAAAUCUGAAGUUAAGUUUAAAAAACUGAAAUUGUAAAAACGAAAAGGGAGGAGGGGGCAUACAUUAAGUUGAUUUUUGACCCAUUUAUAGUGAUUGUGACGGUACACGACUGCAUAGGUGAUGCAGCUGAGACAUUAGCAUAUCUAUUAAGACAAACUCCAGGAUGGUUUAUGUUAAAAAAUCUGAAGUUAGGUUGAAAAAAUUGUAAUUAAAAACGAAAAGGGGGGAUACCAUAAGUUGAUUGUUGACCCAUUUAUAGAGAUUGUGACGGGCAAUGACUGCCUAUAGAUGAUGUAGAGACAUUGGCGCAACGUUUAGGAAAAUCUCCAGAGUGGUUUAUGUUCGAAAAUCUGAAUUUACGGUUAAAAAACUGAAAUUGUGAAAUUGACAAAAUGAGAUUAAGUGGGUAGGCCAAUUUAAAUUAAUUUUGGACCAACUUCAAGAGAUUGUGACGGGCAACAACUAUAUAGGUGUUGUAGAGGAGACAUUGGCGCAUCGUUUAAGAAAAUCUCCAGAGUGGUUUAUGUUCGAAAAUCUGAAGUUACGGUUAAAAAAACUGAAAUUGUGAAAUUGACAAAAUGAGAUUGGGGGUUAGGCCAAUUUAAGUUAAUUUUGGACCAGCUUCAAGAGAUUGUGACGGGCAACAACUAUAUAGGUGUUAUAGAGGAGACGUUAGCGCAUCGUUUAGGACAAUCUCAAGAGUGGUUUAUGUUCGAAAAUCUGAAGUUACGGUUAAAAAACUGAAAAUUUUAGUGUGAAAUUGACAAAAUGAGAUUAGGGGGGUAGGGCACUAAAAGAAAAAAAAUUGACCAUUUUAAAGAGAUUGUGACGGGCAACGACUAUAAAGGUGUUGUAGAGGAGACAUUGGCGCAUCGUUUAAGAAAAUCUCCAGAGUGGUUUAUGUUCGAAAAUCUGAAGUUACGGUUAAAAACUGAAACUGUGAAAUUGACAAAAUUGGAUUAGGGGGGUAGGCCAAUUAAAUUUAAUUUUGUACCAAUUUCAAGAGAUUGUGACGGGCAACGACUAUAUAUGUGUUGUAGAGGAGACAUUGGCGCAUCGUUUAGGAAAAUCCCCAGAGUGGUUUAUGUUCGAAAAUCUGAAGUUACGGUUAAAAAUCUGAAAAUUUUAUUGUGAAAUUGACAAAAUUAGAUUAGGGGGUAGGGCACUAAAAGAAAAAUUUGGACCAUUUUAAAGAGAUUGUGACGGGCAACGACUAUAAAGGUGUUGUAGAGGAGACAUUGGCGCAUCGUUUAAGAAAAUCUCCAGAGUGGUUUAUGUUCGAAAAUCUGAAGUUACCGUUAAAAAACUGAAAUUGUGAAAUUGACAAAAUGAGAUUAGGGGGAUGCCAAUUUAAGUUAAUUUUGGACCAAUUUCAAUAGAUUGUGACGGGCAACGACUAUAUAGGUGUUGUAGAGGAGAUAUUGGCGCAUCGUUUAAGAAAAUCUCCAGAGUGGUUUAUGUUCGAAAAUCUGAAGUAACCGUUAAAAAACUGAAAUUGUGAAAUUGACAAAAUGAGAUUAGGGGGAGGCCAAUUUAAGUUAAUUUUGGACCAAUUUCAAGAGAUUGUGACGGGCAACGACUAUAUAGGUGUUGUAGAGGAGAUAUUGGCGCAUCGUUUAAGAAAAUCUCCAGAGUGGUUUAUGUUCGAAAAUCUGAAGUUACGGUUAAAAAACUGAAACUGUGAAAUUAACAAAAUGAGAUUAGGGGGGUAGGCCAAUUUAAGUUAAUUUUGUACCAAUUUCAAGAGAUUGUGACGGGCAACGACUAUAUAGGUGUUGUAGAGUAGACAUUGGCGCAUCGUUGAGGAAAAUCUCCAGAGUGGUUUAUGUUCGAAAAUCUGAAGUUACGGUUAAAAAUCUGAAAAUUUUAUUGUUCAAUUGACAAAAUGAGAUUAGGGGGGUAGGGCACUAAAAGAAAAAUUUGGACCAUUUUAAAGAGAUUGUGACGGGCAACGACUAUAUAGGUGUUGUAGAGGAGACAUUGGCGCAUCGUUAAAGAAAAUCUCCAGAGUGGUUUAUGUUCGAAAAUCUGAAGUUACGGUUAAAAAUCUGAAAAUUUUAUUGUGAAAUUGACAAAAUGAGAUUAGGGGGGUAGGGCACUAAAAGAAAAAAUUUUGACCAUUUUAAAGAGAUUGUGACGGGCAACGACUAUAAAGGUGUUGUAGAGGAGACAUUGGCGCAUCGUUUAAGAAAAUCUCCAGAGUGGUUUAUGUUCGAAAAUCUGAAGUUACGGUUAAAAAACUGAAACUGUGAAAUUGACAAAACUACAUUAGGGGGGUAUGCCAAUUUAAGUUAAUUUUGUACCAAUUUCAAGAGGUUGUGACGGGCAACGACUAUAUAUGUGUUGUAGAGGAGACAUUGGCGCAUCGUUUAAGAAAAUCUCCAGAGUGGUUUAUGUUCGAAAAUCUGAAGUUACGGUUAAAAAUCUGAAAAUUUUAUUGUGAAAUUGACAAAAUGAGAUUAGGGGGGUGGGGCACUAAAAGAAUAAUUUGGACCAUACCAAAGAGAUUGUGACGGGCAACGACUAUAAAGGUGUUGUAGAGGAGACAUUGGCGCAUCGUUUAAGAAAAUCUCCAGUGUGGUUUAUGUUCGAAAAUCUGAAGUUACGGUUAAAAAACUGAAAUUGUGAAAUUGACAAAAUGAGAUUAGGGGGAGGCCAAUUUAAGUUAAUUUUGGACCAAUUUCAAGAGAUUGUGACGGGCAACGACUAUAUAGGUGUUGUAGAGGAGACAUUGGCGCAUCGUUUAGGAAAAUCUCCAGAGUGGUUUAUGUUCGAAAAUCUGAAGUUACGGUUAAAAAACUGAAAAUUUUAUUGUGAAAUUGACAAAAUGAGAUUAGGGGGGUAGGGCACUAAAAGAAAAAAAAAUGACAAUUUUAAAGAGAUUGUGACGGGCAACGACUAUAAAGGUGUUGUAGAGGAGACAUUGGCGCAUCGUUUAAGAAAAUCUCCAGAGUGGUUUAUAUUCGAAAAUCUGAAGUUACGGUUAAAAAACUGAAACUGUGAAAUUGACAAAAUUAGAUUAGGGGGGUAGGCCAAUUUAAGUUAAUUUUGUACCAAUUUCAAGAGAUUGAGACGGGCAACGACUAUACAGGUGUUGUAGGGGAGACAAUGGCGCAUCGUUUAGGAAAAUCUCCAGAGUGGUUUAUGUUCGAAAAUCUGAAGUUACGGUUAAAAAUCUGAAAAUUUUAUUGUGAAAUUGACAAAAUGAGAUUAAGGGGGUAGGGCACUAAAAGAAAAAUUUAGACCAUUUUAAAGAGAUUGUGACGGGCAACGACUAUAUAGGUGUUGUAGAGGAGACAUUGGCGCAUCGUUUAUGAAAAUCUCCAGAGUGGUUUAUGUUCGAAAAUCUGAAGUUACCGUUAAAAAACUGAAAUUGUGAAAUUGACAAAAUGAGAUUAGGGGGGUAGGCCAAUUUAAGUUAAUUUUGGACCAGCUUCAAGAGAUUGUGACGGGCAACAACUAUAUAGGUGUUGUAGAGGAGACAUUGGCGCAUCGUUUAAGAAAAUCCCCAGAGUGGUUUAUGUUCGAAAAUCUGAAGUUACGGUUAAAAACUGAAAAUUUUAUUGUGAAAUUGACAAAAUGAGAUUAGGGGGGUAGGGCACUAAAAGAAAAAUUUGGACCAUUUUAAAGAGAUUGUGACGGGUAACGACUAUAUAGGUGUUGUAGAGGAGACAUUGGCGCAUCGUUUAGGAAAAACUCCAGAGUGGUUUAUGUUCGAAAAUCUGAAGUUACGGUUAAAAAAACUGAAAUUGUGAAAUUGACAAAAUGAGAUUAUGGGGGUAGGGCACUAAAAGAAAAAUUUUGACCAUUUUAAAGAGAUUGUGACGGGCAACGACUAUAAAGGUGUUGUAGAGGAGACAUUGGCGCAUCGUUUAAGAAAAUCUCCAGAGUGGUUUAUGUUCGAAAAUCUGAAGUUACGGUUAAAAAACUGAAACUGUGAAAUUGACAAAAUUAGAUUAGGGGGUAGGCCAAUUUAAGUUAAUUUUGGACCAAUUUCAAGAGAUUGUGACGGGCAACGACUAUAUAGGUAUUGUAGAAGAGACAUUGGUGCAUCGUUUAAGAAAAUCUCCAGAGUGGUUUAUGUUCGAAAAUCUGAAGUUACGGUUAAAAAUCUGAAAAUUUUAUUGUGAAAUUGACAAAAUGAGAUUAGGGGGGUAGGGCACUAAAAGAAAAAUUUGGACCAUUUUAAAGAGAUUGUGACGGGCAACAACUAUAUAGGUGUUGUAGAGGAGACAUUGGCGCAUCGUUUUAGAAAAUCUCCAGAGUGGUUUAUGUUCGAAAAUCUGAAGUUACGGUUAAAAAAACUGAAAUUGUGAAAUUGACAAAAUGAGAUUAGGGGGGUAGGGCACUAAAAGAAAAAAUUUGACCAUUUUAAAGAGAUUGUGACGGGCAACGACUAUAAAGGUGUUGUAGAGGAGACAUUGGCGCAUCGUUUAAGAAAAUCUCUAGAGUGGUUUGUGUUCGAAAAUCUGAAGUUACAGUUAAAAAACUAAAAUUGUGAAAUUGACAAAAUGAGAUUAGGGGGAGGCCAAUUUAAGUUAAUUUUGGACAAAUUUCAAGAGAUUGUGACGGGCAACGACUAUAUAGGUGUUGUAGAGGAGACAUUGGCGCAUUGUUUAGGAAAAUCUCCAGAGUGGUUUAUGUUCGAAAAUCUGAAGUUACGGUUAAAAAACUGAAAUUUUUAUUGUGAAAUUGACAAAAUGAGAUUAGGGGGGUAGGGCACUAAAAGAAAAAUUUGGACCAUUUUAAAGAGAUUGUGACGGGCAACGACUAUAUAGGUGUUGUAAAGGAGUCAUUGGCGCAUCGUUUAAGAAAAUCUCCAGAGUGGUUUAUGUUCGAAAAUCUGAAGUUAAUAUUGUUAAAAAACUGAAAUUGUGAAUUUGACAAAAUGAGAUUAGGGUGGUAGGCCAAUUUAAGUUAAUUUUGGACCAAUUUCAAGAGAUUGUGACGGGCAACGACUAUAUAGGUGUUGUAGAGGAGACAAUGGCGCAUCGUUUAAGAAAAUCUCCAGAGUGGUUUAUGUUCGAAAAUCUGAAGUUACGGUUAAAAAACUGAAAAUGUGAAAUUGACAAAAUGAGAUUAGGGGGUAGGCCAAUUUAAGUUAAUUUUGGACCAAUUUCAAGAGAUUGUGACGGGCAACGAUUAUAUAGGUGUUGUAGAGGAGACAUUGGCGCAUCGUUUAGGAAAAUCUCCAGAGUGGUUAAUGUUCGAAAAUCUGAAGUUACGGUUAAAAAACUGAAAUAGUGAAAUUGA
Long non-coding RNA from Mytilus californianus (California mussel), 5551 nucleotides. RefSeq lists it as uncharacterized. The transcript has 4 exons. NCBI's taxonomy places the organism in Eukaryota, Metazoa, Mollusca, Bivalvia, Mytilida, Mytilidae. The record is from RefSeq and is a predicted model, not a curated record.